CCUACGGGUGGCAGCAGUGAGGAAUCUUGGUCAAUGGACGAGAGUCUGAACCAGCCAAGUAGCGUGAAGGAUGACUGCCCUAUGGGUUGUAAACUUCUUUUAUAUGGGAAUAAAAUGUUCCACGUGUGGGAUUUUGUAUGUACCAUAUGAAUAAGGAUCGGCUAACUCCGUGCCAGCAGCCGCGGUAAUACGGAGGAUCCGAGCGUUAUCAGGAUUUAUUGGGUUUAAAGGGAGCGUAGGUGGAUUGUUAAGUCAGUUGUGAAAGUUUGCGGCUCAACCGUAAAAUUGCAGUUGAAACUGGCAGUCUUGAGUACAGUAGAGGUGGGCGGAAUUCGUGGUGUAGCGGUGAAAUGCUUAGAUAUCACGAAGAACUCCGAUUGCGAAGGCAGUUCACUGGACUGCAACUGACACUGAGGCUCGAAAGUGUGGGUAUCAAACAGGAUUAGAUACCCGGGUAGUC
RNAcentral lists this ribosomal RNA (460 nucleotides) under uncultured bacterium. Its description in RNAcentral is "partial 16S ribosomal RNA". It matches the Rfam family "Bacterial small subunit ribosomal RNA", at positions 338 to 795 of the family's 1533-position model. The record is from RNAcentral.